RNAcentral lists this ribosomal RNA (554 nucleotides) under Hamamotoa sp. RNAcentral's name for it is "partial large subunit ribosomal RNA". It matches the Rfam family "Eukaryotic large subunit ribosomal RNA", at positions 13 to 579 of the family's 3401-position model. Lineage: Eukaryota; Fungi; Basidiomycota; Microbotryomycetes; Chrysozymaceae. The record is from RNAcentral.
AGGCAGGAUUACCCGCUGAACUUAAGCAUAUCAAUAAGCGGAGGAAAAGAAACUAACAAGGAUUCCCCUAGUAACGGCGAGUGAAGCGGGAAGAGCUCAAAUUUGUAAUCUGGCACUUUCAGUGUCCGAGUUGUAAUCUCGAGAAGUAUUUUCCGCGCCGGACUGCAUACAAGUCUGUUGGAAUACAGCGUCAUAGUGGUGAGAACCCCGUAACUGAUGCAGAUGCCCGGUGCUUUGUGAUAUACUUUCGAAGAGUCGAGUUGUUUGGGAAUGCAGCUCAAAUUGGGUGGUAAAUUCCAUCUAAAGCUAAAUAUUGGCGAGAGACCGAUAGCGAACAAGUACCGUGAGGGAAAGAUGAAAAGCACUUUGGAAAGAGAGUUAACAGUACGUGAAAUUGUUGGAAGGGAAACGCUUGAAGUCAGACUUGCUAUUUGGAAUUCAGCCGCAAGGUGUACUUUUCAAUUCGCAGGCCAGCAUCAGUUUUUGGGGGUGGAAAAGGGUAGAGAGAAGGUAGCAGUUUCGGCUGUGUUAUAGCUCUUUGCUGGAUUCAUCCU